GCCAGACUCCUACGGGAGGCAGCAGUGGGGAAUAUUGCACAAUGGGGGAAACCCUGAUGCAGCGACGCCGCGUGAGUGAAGAAGUAUUUCGGUAUGUAAAGCUCUAUCAGCAGGGAAGAUAAUGACGGUACCUGACUAAGAAGCCCCGGCUAACUACGUGCCAGCAGCCGCGGUAAUACGUAGGGGGCAAGCGUUAUCCGGAUUUACUGGGUGUAAAGGGUGCGCAGGUGGCAGGGCAAGUCAGAUGUGAAAGCCCGGGGCUCAACCCCGGUAUUGCAUUUGAAACUGUCCGGCUAGAGUGCAGGAGAGGUAAGCGGAAUUCCUAGUGUAGCGGUGAAAUGCGUAGAUAUUAGGAGGAACACCAGUGGCGAAGGCGGCUUACUGGACUGUAACUGACACUGAGGCACGAAAGCGUGGGGAGCAAACAGGAUUAGAUACCCGCGUA
This 445-nucleotide ribosomal RNA is filed under the name uncultured bacterium. RNAcentral describes it as "bacterial SSU rRNA". It matches the Rfam family "Bacterial small subunit ribosomal RNA", at positions 330 to 792 of the family's 1533-position model. The record is from RNAcentral.